RNAcentral lists this ribosomal RNA (544 nucleotides) under Nebularia incompta. RNAcentral describes it as "Mitra incompta partial 12S ribosomal RNA". The record is from RNAcentral. Lineage: Eukaryota; Metazoa; Mollusca; Gastropoda; Neogastropoda; Mitridae.
AACCAGGGGGCUUAGUUAUACUUUCUACGGUGAAAAGACAGUUAGGUUAUACAGAAGUUUAAUUCAUCGUAUUUAUAGAGGAGUAGAAUCCGGAUAUAAGCGAAUAUACUAAUUAAGACUAAAGUACUGAAGCUGUGAUAACUUUGAGGGAAACUAGGAUUAGAUACCCUAUUAUUCAUAGAUGUAAAUAAGAAAAUUCUACCGGAGCACUAAGAACAAAAAAUUUAAAACUCAAAGGGCUUGGCGGUGUUCUAGACUACUUAGGGGAACCUGUCUCGUAAUCGACAAUCCACGCUAGACCUGACCUCUUUUUGCAAACAGUUUGUAUACCGUCGUCGCCAGGUAACUUUUAAGAUAUAAACAGUUAGCUAAUAAAAUAAUCAUAAAUUGGAACGUCAGAUCAAGGUGCAGCUAAUAAAGAGGCGCAGAUGGGUUACAAUUAUUAUAUUCAUAAUUACGGAUAAUAGUUUUAAAACAAUCAGUAAGGAGGACUUAAAAGUAAAAUGGAUUAUAUAAAUACUUUGAAUAAAGCUCUGGAACGUGC